UACAGAGGGUGCGAGCGUUAAUCGGAAUUACUGGGCGUAAAGGGCGCGUAGGUGGUGAGUUAAGAUUGUUGUGAAAUCCCUGGGCUUAACCUAGGAACUGCAACGAUGACUGAUUCGCUUGAGUAUUGUAGAGGGUAGUGGAAUUUCCGGUGUAGCGGUGAAAUGCGUAGAGAUCGGAAGGAACACCAGUGGCGAAGGCGGCUACCUGGACAAAUACUGACACUGAGGCGCGAGAGCGUGGGGAGCAAACAGG
RNAcentral lists this ribosomal RNA (253 nucleotides) under uncultured bacterium. RNAcentral's name for it is "partial 16S ribosomal RNA". It matches the Rfam family "Bacterial small subunit ribosomal RNA", at positions 524 to 776 of the family's 1533-position model. The record is from RNAcentral.